ACCAUGUUUGCCUAAUGGUUUGAGUAUUGGAUUAUGACUCUGGAGGCCAGGGUUCAAUUCCCUUAUCGGCUA
Non-coding RNA from Phrynosoma platyrhinos (Desert horned lizard), 72 nucleotides. The record is from the annotation of a GenBank genome assembly. NCBI's taxonomy places the organism in Eukaryota, Metazoa, Chordata, Lepidosauria, Squamata, Phrynosomatidae.